CUUAAGUAUAAACUCUCUGCGAUGUAGUCCCGCCCGUUUUGAUCUAUUUUUUUGUUUUUUUUUUGUUUGUUUGUUUGGAAUCAAAGAAAGGAAAGGAAAAGAAAAGAAAAAGAAAAGAAAGGGAUUAUUAUUGUUAUUAUUAUUAGGGCGGUUCAGGUCGUAUGAUGUUUUGUGGUGUAUUGAAAGAUCGAAUUCAGAAUUGGCUUCGCGAUUAUGAUAGGCUUCAGUACUUGGCUGUCAUCCUCAUUUAUAUUCAGAUUGGGUGCGC
RNAcentral lists this unclassified non-coding RNA (268 nucleotides) under Hevea brasiliensis (rubber tree). Lineage: Eukaryota; Viridiplantae; Streptophyta; Magnoliopsida; Malpighiales; Euphorbiaceae. The record is from RNAcentral.